GUGGGGAAUCUUCCGCAAUGGACGAAAGUCUGACGGAGCGACGCCGCGUGAGUGAAGAAGGCCUUCGGGUCGUAAAGCUCUGUCAUCAGGGACGAACGGCCGGUGGAGUGGAAAGCCACCGGAUUGACGGUACCUGAGAAGGAAGCCACGGCUAACUACGUGCCAGCAGCCGCGGUAAUACGUAGGUGGCAAGCGUUGUCCGGAAUUAUUGGGCGUAACGCGCGCAGGUGGGAUCUUAAGUCCAUUUUGAAAGUUCGGAGCUCAACUCCGUGAUGGGAUGGAAACUGGGAUUCUUGAGUACCGGAGAGGAAAGCGGAAUUCCCCGUGUAGCGGUGAAAUGCGUAGAUAUGGGGAGGUACACCAGUGGCGAAGGCGGCUUUCUGGACGGUGUCUGACACUGAGGCGCGAAAGCCAGGGGAGCGAACGGGAUUAGAAACCCGUGUAGUCC
RNAcentral lists this ribosomal RNA (448 nucleotides) under uncultured bacterium. RNAcentral's name for it is "partial 16S ribosomal RNA". It matches the Rfam family "Bacterial small subunit ribosomal RNA", at positions 354 to 796 of the family's 1533-position model. The record is from RNAcentral.